RNAcentral lists this long non-coding RNA (1148 nucleotides) under Salmo salar (Atlantic salmon). Its description in RNAcentral is "lncRNA (ENSSSAG00000116120.1)". The record is from RNAcentral. Lineage: Eukaryota; Metazoa; Chordata; Actinopteri; Salmoniformes; Salmonidae.
GACAAUAUUCCCCAAAGACAAAUACAAGACAGAAAAUGAAGAGAACUCCAAAGAACUUGAAGGAUUUUAUUGUUUCAAAAUGCCAUCCUUGCAGAGUUAAAGCAAAAGUAUCAAAAAAUACGCAGUGCCAAGGACAAACAAGUGGCUUCAAAAAUGCUCAGAGGCAACAUCCUGAGAAAGUAUGGCCUGGAUAACGCCGCACACAGAGAAUUUGGCUUUUCAGCAAAAGCAAUGAGGGCAAAUGAAAACAGGCCAACAAGUAUGCAAUACUCCAGGAAAAAGCAGUGUAACAUAAUUACUACAGCCACAGAAGAGAAAAUUACUAGAUUAUAUGAACGUGAUGUCAACAUUAGAGCAGCAACAGGGGAAAAAGGACACACAAGAAAAAAAGCAGAAGCGCUUCUUGAAUGGCACAAUUCAGAACCUUUAUCAGAAUUUUAAGAGGGAAUAUUCAGAGAUUAAAAUGUCCUGCUAUGAAUUCUGCAAAAGAUGUCCUUUUUGGGUUGUCAAGCCAACAGUCCAGGAUAGGGACACAUGCUUCUGCAAAACCCACGCCAACCUCCAGUUCAUGGGGGACAAACUACAGUAUCACAAAGUGAUCAGCUGCAGCAACAAUGAGAACCUAGUUGAGUCUUUGUGCUGUGAGAACCUGAAGAAAGAGUGCAUGUACACAGAGUGCUCUCUUUGCCAAGCAAAAGAGCUUAACAUCUGACUUUGAUGCUGGUGAGCAGACAUGGUGGUUUGAGUGGAAAAACAAAGCUGAAGAGAGAGAAAAUGAAAAACAGAGGGAAACAUGGAGAAGUUCACUGUACAUUUGACAGUUAAAGAAAAUUUUUAGCAUUGAAAUGUGAUACACAAUGAGGCAUGCUGCAGACACCUCCGAGCGGUCGGGUAGGCUGUUUUGGAGUGUUUAUCCGACUGGAUGUAACGGCUGUCGUCGGAAGAAGACCAAGGUGCAGCGGAGUUAGUGUUCAUCAUAAAAGGUUUUAAUGAUCAACGAACACUAUACAAAAGAAAACAAAAAACGACUAGCAACAGUUCUGUUAGGAACACACUAAACAGAAAACAAUUACCCACAAAACCCAAAGGAAAAACAUGCUCCUUCUGUGGGACUCCCAAUCAGCAACAACGAGCUUCAGCUGUGCCUG